Microtus ochrogaster (prairie vole) is the source of this 940-nucleotide long non-coding RNA. RefSeq lists it as uncharacterized. NCBI's taxonomy places the organism in Eukaryota, Metazoa, Chordata, Mammalia, Rodentia, Cricetidae. The record is from RefSeq and is a predicted model, not a curated record.
UCUGUCAUUCUUUAUACGCGCUUGGUUCUCUUUCUCUCUCCCCCCAUUCCUACCCAUGUGAUCCCGAACUCGAGGCCCACGAAUUACGUGGCCUGCUGGACGGGUCAAGUGGUGCCCAACGUGGGGCAGCUCGAGGAUCAGUGGUCACUGGACAGCCCCCAAUUGAAGAAAAAAGCGUUCCGGAACGUGCUUUGGUAGAGAUGUCCUGCAUCGCUCGUGCGGCGUCUUGAGAGUAUUUUUAGAGUCUGGCUGUUGGAAAGACGUCAUCUCUCCCUAAGUGGCCUCAAUAACCGCUGUGGUUCGAGCAGUUUCUACAUCCUGUUGCUAAAUGUUCCAGAUUAUCCAGCUCCACAGGCUCCACUGUGUACUCACGAGCGGAGCCAUCUCCCUGUCCCCUCCUCUCUUAUUUUGAGAUAUGGUGUCACGUAGCCCAGGACCUGAACUCACUAGCAAGCUAAGGCUGGCCCUGAACUUCUGAUCCUCCUGCCUCUACUUGUGGUUGAACCCAGAGCUUCACGAACGCUAGGCCUGGCAGAUGUGCCCUAAUUCCCAGACUGAUGGAGUGCCUGUGGAAUUGUUCGAUUUUACACAUGCUCAUACUUGGCUGGAGCCCACCACAGUCACGUAGCUGUUUGGCCUGAAGUGGGAGAGAGGUUGGGGAGAAACACAGCUCUGCCAGUGCACCGGAGUCUUCUCGGUACCUGGAAGUCGACAGACACCACUACUCCCUACUCCUGAUCAGACAAAAGAUAAAAUAGAAGUGAAAGAGCCUGGGGCUGGAGACAUGGCUUGGCUGUUAAAGUACCCGCCAUUCUUCAAGAGGAUCCGAGUUCAGUUCUCAGGACCCACAUGGGAGUUCACAACUAUCCUUAACUCCAGUUCCAAAGGACCUGAUGCCCUUGGCUGGCCUCCGCUGAUACUGUGUGUGUGUGUGUGUGUG